RNAcentral lists this ribosomal RNA (253 nucleotides) under uncultured bacterium. RNAcentral describes it as "partial 16S ribosomal RNA". It matches the Rfam family "Bacterial small subunit ribosomal RNA", at positions 524 to 776 of the family's 1533-position model. The record is from RNAcentral.
UACGUAGGGACCAAGCGUUGUUCGGAAUUACUGGGCGUAAAGCGCACGUAGGCGGGUCGUUAAGUCAGGGGUGAAAUCCCGGAGCUCAACUUCGGAACUGCCUUUGAUACUGGCGACCUUGAGGCUGGAAGAGGUUAGUGGAAUUCCCAGUGUAGAGGUGAAAUUCGUAGAUAUUGGGAAGAACACCAGUGGCGAAGGCGGCUAACUGGUCCAGAUCUGACGCUGAGGUGCGAAAGCGUGGGGAGCAAACAGG